AUCUGGCUGACGAGUCCCAAAACGGUGCAAAACGCGCGUCCUGGAU
This 46-nucleotide non-coding RNA is filed under the name Schistosoma mansoni. The record is from RNAcentral. Lineage: Eukaryota; Metazoa; Platyhelminthes; Trematoda; Strigeidida; Schistosomatidae.